Molecule: unclassified non-coding RNA, 376 nt
Filed under: uncultured bacterium
Lineage: Bacteria
Description: contains 16S-23S intergenic spacer region
Source: RNAcentral
UCCGAGUUGACCCCGGCAGUCUCCGAUGAGUCCCCGCCAUGACGCGCUGGCAACAUCGAACGAGGGUUGCGCUCGUUGCGGGACUUAACCCAACAUCUCACGACACGAGCUGACGACAACCAUGCACCACCUGUACACUGCCCCAAAGGACCCCGCAUCUCUGCGAGUUUUCGGCGUAUGUCAAGCCUUGGUAAGGUUCUUCGCGUUGCAUCGAAUUAAACCACAUGCUCCACCGCUUGUGCGGGCCCCCGUCAAUUCCUUUGAGUUUCAGCCUUGCGGCCGUACUCCCCAGGCGGGGCACUUAAUGCGUUAGCGCCGGCACUCAGAGGGUCGCUCCCCCAAGCACCUAGUGCCCAUCGUUUACGGCGUGGACUAC